This 981-nucleotide small RNA is filed under the name Histoplasma capsulatum var. duboisii H88. RNAcentral describes it as "Histoplasma capsulatum H88 hypothetical RNA". Lineage: Eukaryota; Fungi; Ascomycota; Eurotiomycetes; Onygenales; Ajellomycetaceae. The record is from RNAcentral.
AGGGCACUCAGUGAAAGCACUGAUGCAGGCCUAUCUGACACAUUCCAACUGACAACAUUGUAUGCUAACCACGGAUUGUCCCAAGAUACUAGAUGUUAAAAUGUCGGAUUCCACACCCCAGAUUCCACAAAUCUCAAUGUAUCCAGAAGAGACUGAUCUGGAGUGCUAGCAAUUACUUUCCCGUGGAUAUCCACCCAUCGAUCUUUAUUUCGGAAUCAUGAACCAGGCAACUUCUCUGCAUAUGAACUCUCUUCGAAGUAGAGUCUCCCCAUUACCCUCUCCGUUUUUUUAUAUCUAAGCAAUGAGCAUCGGGGUUUACGCUAGCCCCGAGCCGGUUGGGCGGUAUGGAUAUCUGCUCUCUGGAUCUAAACGUAAUCGUAGGAAGUGGGGGAGACGACGAGAAAGCGAAUAAAUCAUGAAUGAACAGGCAUUCGGUAUUUUUUCUUCUAUGAGGAAAUGAAAAUAAUAAAAAUAAAAAUAAAUUGAACAAAAAGUCUUGAACAACGACAAGGUAAGAAAGAAAGAAAAGAAAAAAAUAUUCUCGAAAAAAUAAGAAAAGAAAUCACCAUUCUCACACAGCAUAUUGUAUAGUAUACAGGCAUACAGUAACCACCAUCACCUCAAAAACCAAAACAAACAAAGGGGUUCUACAAACAUUACAUCUAACUAAAACUUCUUCCUCCCCUUCAUACCCAAUGCCUUUAUAUUCGCCCUCGACGCGGUGCCUUGCUUAUGAACCACCCCCCUUUUAUCCCACACCGAGCUCUUCCCCUCCGCCACCGCAAUAAUCUCCUGCGCCACCCGAUUCGCCAACGCAGCAUCCUUCCGUUUCUCAGACGCAUCAAUAAUCCACUUAAUAGCUGUGCGCCGGCGUUGGCGGAGCGCCAGCGGGAGAGGGAUGGGGAGCGAGCGGCCACCUCCUGCCGCGCCAGGCUGUUGCUUGAUGCGGAGCAGUGGCGCCACGGAGUCAACGACCAGGGU